UGUCCUCUCACAAUAAAAUCAUUGAUGCUGGGGAAUGCUGAAAAGGAAAUCAGAAUCUCGUGUAAAAGGACAAAGGAGAAGAUAUCAUGGAA
Non-coding RNA from Notechis scutatus (mainland tiger snake), 92 nucleotides. NCBI's taxonomy places the organism in Eukaryota, Metazoa, Chordata, Lepidosauria, Squamata, Elapidae. The record is from RefSeq and is a predicted model, not a curated record.